Molecule: transfer RNA, 74 nt
Filed under: Candidatus Heimdallarchaeota archaeon
Lineage: Archaea; Promethearchaeati; Candidatus Heimdallarchaeota
Also listed under: 5 other names
Description: tRNA-Asn
Rfam family: tRNA
About the family: Transfer RNA (tRNA) molecules are approximately 80 nucleotides in length. Their secondary structure includes four short double-helical elements and three loops (D, anti-codon, and T loops).
Source: RNAcentral
GGCAUCAUAGCUCAGUUAGGUAGAGCGUCCGGCUGUUAACCGGGUGGUCGCAGGUUCAAGUCCUGCUGGUGCCG